GGGCGAGUGGCGAAAUUGGUAGACGCACUGGUUUUAGGUACCAGCGGGUGAAACCAUGAGAGUUCGAGUCUCUCCUUGCCCACCA
RNAcentral lists this transfer RNA (85 nucleotides) under Fimbriimonadaceae bacterium. RNAcentral's name for it is "tRNA-Leu". It matches the Rfam family "tRNA". Rfam says of the family: Transfer RNA (tRNA) molecules are approximately 80 nucleotides in length. Lineage: Bacteria; Bacillati; Armatimonadota; Fimbriimonadia; Fimbriimonadales; Fimbriimonadaceae. The record is from RNAcentral.